Non-coding RNA from Caenorhabditis elegans, 148 nucleotides. NCBI's taxonomy places the organism in Eukaryota, Metazoa, Nematoda, Chromadorea, Rhabditida, Rhabditidae. The record is from Ensembl.
AUUUUUCGAAAGUUUGAUUUUGAAGGAAGUUAUGACAGUUUUAAAUUGCUGGCCUAGAAAACUCAAGAGUUCCGCCACCAACUUAAAAUGCUUCAAACUAGUUUAAGAUUUAUUUUUCCUAUGGUUUGAGAAAAUUUAUGAUUGCUGC